Molecule: ribosomal RNA, 465 nt
Filed under: Vreelandella stevensii
Lineage: Bacteria; Pseudomonadati; Pseudomonadota; Gammaproteobacteria; Oceanospirillales; Halomonadaceae
Description: partial 16S ribosomal RNA
Rfam family: Bacterial small subunit ribosomal RNA
Source: RNAcentral
CCUACGGGCGGCUGCAGUGGGGAAUAUUGGACAAUGGGGGCAACCCUGAUCCAGCCAUGCCGCGUGUGUGAAGAAGGCCCUCGGGUUGUAAAGCACUUUCAGUGAGGAAGAACGCCUGGUGGUUAAUACCCAUCAGGAAAGACAUCACUCACAGAAGAAGCACCGGCUAACUCCGUGCCAGCAGCCGCGGUAAUACGGAGGGUGCGAGCGUUAAUCGGAAUUACUGGGCGUAAAGCGCGCGUAGGUGGCUUGAUAAGCCGGUUGUGAAAGCCCCGGGCUCAACCUGGGAACGGCAUCCGGAACUGUCAAGCUAGAGUGCAGGAGAGGGAGGUAGAAUUCCAGGUGUAGCGGUGAAAUGCGUAGAGAUCGGGAGGAAUACCAGUGGCGAAGGCGGCCUUCUGGACUGACACUGACACUGAGGUGCGAAAGCGUGGGUAGCAAACAGGAUUAGAUACCCUAGUAGUC